CUACGGGAGGCUCCAGUGGGGAAUAUUGCACAAUGGACGAAAGUCUGAUGCAGCAACGCCGCGUGGAGGAUGACACAUUUCGGUGCGUAAACUCCUUUUAUAUAGGAAGAUAAUGACGGUACUAUAUGAAUAAGCGCCGGCUAACUCCGUGCCAGCAGCCGCGGUAAUACGGAGGGCGCAAGCGUUACUCGGAAUCACUGGGCGUAAAGAGCGUGUAGGCGGAUAGAUAAGUCAGGAGUGAAAUCCUAUGGCUCAACCAUAGAACUGCUCUUGAAACUGUCUAUCUAGAAUAUGGGAGAGGUAGAUGGAAUUUCUGGUGUAGGGGUAAAAUCCGUAGAGAUCAGAAGGAAUACCGAUUGCGAAGGCGAUCUACUGGAACAUUAUUGACGCUGAGACGCGAAAGCGUGGGGAGCAAACAGGAUUAGAUACCCCAGUAGUC
This 439-nucleotide ribosomal RNA is filed under the name uncultured bacterium. RNAcentral's name for it is "partial 16S ribosomal RNA". It matches the Rfam family "Bacterial small subunit ribosomal RNA", at positions 339 to 795 of the family's 1533-position model. The record is from RNAcentral.